GACGAAGGAUGCAAGCGUUAUCCGGAUUCAUUGGGUUUAAAGGGUGCGUAGGCGGACUGAUAAGUCAGUGGUGAAAUCUCUCAGCUUAACUGAGAAACUGCCAUUGAUACUGUUAGUCUAGAGUAUAGAUGACGUUGGCGGAAUAUGACAUGUAGUGGUGAAAUACUUAGAUAUGUCAUAGAACACCGAUUGCGAAGGCAGCUAACGAAACUAUAACUGACGCUGAGGCACGAAAGUGCGGGGAUCAAACAGG
This 253-nucleotide ribosomal RNA is filed under the name uncultured bacterium. RNAcentral describes it as "partial 16S ribosomal RNA". It matches the Rfam family "Bacterial small subunit ribosomal RNA", at positions 524 to 776 of the family's 1533-position model. The record is from RNAcentral. RNAcentral also lists the same sequence under 1 other name.